GAUGAACGCUAGCGGCAGGCUUAACACAUGCAAGUCGAGGGGUAGAAGUCUUCGGACUUUGAGACCGGCGCACGGGUGCGUAACGCGUAUGCAAUCUGCCUUGUACAAAGGGAUAGCCCAGAGAAAUUUGGAUUAAUACCUUAUAGUAUAUCGAUGUGGCAUCACAAUGGUAUUAAAGAUUUAUCGGUACAAGACGAGCA
RNAcentral lists this ribosomal RNA (200 nucleotides) under uncultured bacterium. RNAcentral describes it as "partial 16S ribosomal RNA". It matches the Rfam family "Bacterial small subunit ribosomal RNA", at positions 28 to 231 of the family's 1533-position model. The record is from RNAcentral.